AUGGCAUCACAUCCUGACGAACAGUCUCCUACAAGUGUCGGAACUAGGGUUGAUGUCGCAGAUGAUCUUGGGGAUUUCUUCGACCAGCUUGAUCUGGAUGGAGAGGAGUUUGAUGAUCUGGAAGUUGAUGCUGAUGAUACGGUUCUGAACAAGAGUGUGCGUUGGCUGGCACUAGCGAGGGUUCAUACCGACAAGAAUUUCAAUCAGACCGCCUUCUUCAAAGAUAUGCGUGCGGCAUGGAACCCUACAGAGAAGGUGCGCUUUCGGCCAGUUGGCCCGAACCUGUUUGUGGUGCAAGCAUCGUGUCUUGGCGAUUGGGAGCGUAUCAUGGAGAGAGGGCCAUGGAUUUUCAGGAACUGGGCAGUGCUCCUUACUCCCUAUGAUGAUUUUAUGAAAGAUGAUGAAAUUGAGAUAGUUUACAUGCCUAUAUGGCUCCAAAUCCAUAAACUCCCAGAUGGCUACUGCAAGAAGGAGAUAGUGGAAAAGUCGAUAAAGAAUGCAGGCAAGGUACUGGAGUUAAGGCUCAACGGAAAUUCUCGUGGUGAUUACAUGCAAGUGUGUGUUUGA
RNAcentral lists this ribosomal RNA (567 nucleotides) under Triticum aestivum (bread wheat). Its description in RNAcentral is "partial small subunit ribosomal RNA". The record is from RNAcentral. Lineage: Eukaryota; Viridiplantae; Streptophyta; Magnoliopsida; Poales; Poaceae.